AACGCAUAUUGCACUCUCUGGUAUUCCGGAGAGAAUGCCUGUUUGAGGGUAAUUAAAAAGAAAUCUUUAAUCUCUUUUGAGGUUAAAGGAUAUGGGUAUUCCGUGUCAUUAGCGGUAACCUGAAAUAGAUAGUAGUCUUCAUCUAGUCGAGACGCGUAAUAAUAUUAUUUCGUGAAACGGUUAAUGAGCUACUUAGUUUUAAUGACUCUAAUUCAUUAGAUUUGUUAAAACAAAUAAUAAUUUUGACAUUACCUCAAAUCAGGUAGGACUACCCGCUGAACUUAA
This 285-nucleotide unclassified non-coding RNA is filed under the name uncultured fungus. Its description in RNAcentral is "partial contains 5.8S ribosomal RNA, internal transcribed spacer 2, and large subunit ribosomal RNA". Lineage: Eukaryota; Fungi. The record is from RNAcentral.